RNAcentral lists this ribosomal RNA (270 nucleotides) under uncultured bacterium. RNAcentral's name for it is "partial 16S ribosomal RNA". It matches the Rfam family "Bacterial small subunit ribosomal RNA", at positions 88 to 354 of the family's 1533-position model. The record is from RNAcentral.
CCGGCGACCGGCGCACGGGUGAGUAACACGUAUGCGACCUGCCCCCCGCCAGGGGAUAACCGGGAGAAAUCCCGACUAAUACCGCGUAACGCCGCGGACCUGCAUGGGUCUGCGGCCAAAGGAAGCGAUUCCGGCGGGGGAUGGGCAUGCGGCGCAUUAGCUAGUCGGCGGGGUAACGGCCCACCGAGGCGACGAUGCGUAGGGGUUCUGAGAGGAAGGUCCCCCACACUGGUACUGAGACACGGACCAGACUCCUACGGAAGGCAGCAG